Zophobas morio is the source of this 1205-nucleotide long non-coding RNA. RefSeq lists it as uncharacterized. NCBI's taxonomy places the organism in Eukaryota, Metazoa, Arthropoda, Insecta, Coleoptera, Tenebrionidae. The transcript has 4 exons. The record is from RefSeq and is a predicted model, not a curated record.
AAGCUUAUCGAAGACCAAAAAAAACAGUGAAAGUUGUACAAGGGUGAAAUUGUUACGUUGUGAGAUUGUCACACAAUGAGUGAAACGUAAGUCAAUAUCAACUAAAUGCAUAAACAAAUAAAUAAGACCAAGUUGUUAUUAUAUUUCGCGCACUUUAUCGUCAACCGAUGUUCGUGAACGUACCUUAUAUCAAACGCAGAGCGUAUCAGCUGAGUCGAACGGCGUCUUAUCAGUAACGUGAUAUGAAAAUAAGCGAUAACGCAACCAACCAACAAAAUAGCGCUCCCAAAAUAACAACCGGUGCACAAGUUAUACCACAGUGAGGUGAAGCCCCAACUGCAGGACUACAAUAAUUAGAUAGGAUGGUAUUCCGGGUACUUAUCGUUCCGGUGUCCUCCACGUCACCUUCAGCUAGAUGGAAGGGUUCUCCUCAAAAAGGAUUCGGGAAUCCGAAUUUAAGUCAUAAUCGAGCAAUCACAGCAAGACCCCGAAAAUCGUGGCUCCAGGAGCUGCUGAAUUUUCCUUUAGCGUCCCGGCAAUGAAGCACCAACCGAAGGGAACUUGGUGGAAAACUCCGGAAAAUUCGCCAGGAAAUUGACAAUGGGGCACAAAUUGGUUCAUCGACGAGAAAAGUUGAAACUGUGAGAAUAUUUGAUCAUUUUACCUCUGGAUGGGCGAGGCUGCUUUAGAUAUUGAGGGUGUGGUGGCGUCCAAAAAAAAUCCAACAAACGUUGCGUGCUUUGCAAGCACCUUUUCCUCCGGUUUUUUCCAAAAUCCUACACAAUAAGUCGUUUGAGUCUCUCAAAGCUGAAAAUUCCGGGAACAGAAUUCGCACAACCACACAAGAAGGUUAGCAAAAAUCUAACGGAUGAAGAUAUUUUCUUUUUUGCCUAAAAAAAGUGAUCCGUCAUCAGCAGAAGCCUUCCCGCCUUUUUAGGAACCAAUUAGAAUUGAGUUUAUUUUCGACAAGAUGGUGUCAAUUCCGGUGGCGCUGUUGUUCAGUUCGAGUCAAAAAUCCCUAUUUCAGAUGACAAGGCGACAGGGUUGCCAAAAGAUGAUGACGUGUUUUGUUUACAGUAACCUCAAAUGGUGAACAACAUAAAAGGUUUGCGAGGGACGCUAUUCUGGCAUAAAUGUAAUAAGUGUAAACUAUGAUGGAAUGUUUAAUAAAACGGUAUCCUAUUUUUAUGCCGUUACAAAAAGUA